AGAGAAAGGAAGCUCAAAAAAGAGGUUGUGGCAGGGAAAAACCUGGACAUAUAGUAACCCUAUGGCUUUGGCAGUGAAUUGUCUGAUACAUUUUAAACUCUGCUGCUGUCACACCACCAAGCCUGGGAGGCUAGUGGACAAAGAAAUCUCCCCUGGAGCUGCCAAUUUUCUCCCAGUGUUGAUAAGGGGGUCACUGGCCUAGAAGAGCAGAGACCAGCACCAGCAGAAUCAGCACUUCAAAUCAAUACUGGGAAGACACUACAGUGUGCUAAGGCCCUGUCUACAUUAAAGAAGCUUCCGCCAAAGUAAUUAAUUACAGCAAUGACACAGAUGACUUCUAUGGGAUCAGGAGCAAUGGAGACCAUUCCAAGGACAGGACAGCUUAGAAAAUAAACAGCUAUCAAGCCCUUGCUGCUCUGCCCAACAAUGUUGCUGCUUAGUUUCUAUUGCAUUUGUUAACUGCUCCGUAGCAGAACCAGGAGCAGGACCACUCUCUCUUCUAACCUAGACAUGUAUUGUUAUUAUCCUUCAUAUCAGGAAACAGCCUUCUGAUGAGGUUUUCGGUAAUACCUGUUUGAGAGGAACUGGGCUGGUGAGAUCACAGUCACAUGAACUUGCAGGGACCAAAAUACCUUGGAGUCAUCAGGGGAGGUCUGCUUGCCCGUGGCAGAGGGACCAGUUGGAGGAAGUGGAACAUUUGCUCCCUUCUACCUGGAUCAGCAGAACAGAGGCAUGGUGAAAUGUUACCGUUGAGUAAGCUGCCUCGCAAGGAUCACCACCAUCAUCCCAGAAUUCAGAAUCAAUGCCAGUUAAGCAGGAGGAUGGUCACUGCCUGCCUGGGGACCCUGGUGCUGGGGGAAGGGAGUCUAUGUAUUGGUUCUCAAGAUGGGGGAUCUGAGUUAGAGGUUGAGGAGGUCUUGGGAUGAGGCUCUGGACUAAGAAGUGGGUUGGCUGGGGGUCUGGAGAAGGGAAGGAAGGCGGCAUGUCUGCUGUGGCCUAUGCUUGUAGCUUGACAUUCUGAUGUGAGUCAAAUGACACUAAGACACUUAGAAAAACCUUAUUAUUUGAUACUAAAACUACAACAUCCUCAAAAAGAAAAUAAACAACCAUCCUUCCAUUUGAUUUCAAGGGACAAUAAAAAUAUACAAAGCAGGGUUUUGAAAAUCACCUUUAAAUGCCCUAAAUACUGGAUAUGUGCUUAGUCAAAGCUGGAAUCAAUAAAAGUGGCUCUGGCAGUGAAUUUAUUUAUUUAUAUACAUUUUUUUUUUACAGAAGGGGCAGCAGGGGUAGAGAGGUGUCUCUUAAUGGAUUCCUGAUGUUGAACCGUAUGCAUACUAUAUGAGUAAAAGCUCUAGCAAUUUCCCAAGUAUUGCAAUUUGUAAUUUGUUUUUUAAGUUUCUAUGUAAAUAACUACACAGAGGGUAAUGUCUCCAUUACACUUAUUACUAUCCAUUUAUUAUUUUAAUGUUAUUAGUUUUUAAUACAAGGAGAUUAAAAAAUUAAUGGAAGACUGUGUAAACAAAUACUUUUUUUUUUUAGUGUACAAAAGACAGCUGCAUUGGCCAAUGUUACAUCUACUUUUUUGUAUUUAUAUUUCUAUAGCUAAAAAUCUUGCUUUAAGAAUUGCGGAACAAUUCAUUACAGAUGGCAUAUAGCACUUCUUGGCUUAGAAGUCACAAGUUUUCAUGUUAAAGGUCUUGUAGCUUCUCAAGUUAUGUUAACAAAUUAAAUGCAAUUAUUUGAUUUCUAAGUGUGAAUGUUUCACAGGAGGAAAAAUCUGGCAGAUAAAGAUCCUCACCAUCAUUUGAACACUCGAACUGGACUUCCUUUUCUGAAUUGACCAGUCAGAGAGAAAAGGAAAAGAAGAAAAUGUGACUGGUUGGAUUGAAAGUAUCAAUGCAUGGAGUACAGUAUAUUUUUGUUUUCAAAAAGACAGCCUAAGCUGCGGUAGAGAAGGAAAUACUUUUUUUGUGGGGGGAAGUUUCUACAUGAGAAAAAUGCUGAAAACAAAGACUCCCACGCAGGUAAACAUUUCCCCCCUUGCUUCACAUAACUUUGCAGGAAAAUGGUAAAAAACUGAAAUGUCCUGAAAAUCAUAAAUAUCAGAUCCCAACAAGUGUAAUAUUAGCAAACCAUUGAGGAUAAUUCUCAGCAACAUUGCUAUCAAAAUGGAGAUACAGCAGAUGCCAUUAUAAACCUGUAGGAAGAAUGGUAUUUAUAAAAAUACUAGCCUAACUGGAGCACAUAAAAUUCCUGCAUUCCACCAAGACGUGUUAAGGAAUCUGUAUUGCAAUGACCUAAUCAUACAGAAAGAUAUGCUUCUUCAUCCUCUCUAAGAUGCCCAUUAUUUGACUUUGGGUAACAUUCAGGUUAGAGUAUACUGAAUUCAUUUUAAGAGCCUUAACAUUUUUAAGUGUGAGAGAAUGUGUGUGUGUAAGUGCGUAAAGGACAAAUCUACUGUGAAUUGAGUAUUUAAGUAAGUAGCACUCUGUUAAAGAAAAGGAAGUUUAAGCAGAAAACUAAAAUUCAGGUCAAAGACACACUCCUGAGAAAUGAGGCAGAACUAAGAAGAGAAGGAAAGCUGGGGUGCUUUAUUUAGUCUUCAGGAAUCC
Long non-coding RNA from Trachemys scripta elegans, 2612 nucleotides. RefSeq lists it as uncharacterized. The record is from RefSeq and is a predicted model, not a curated record. NCBI's taxonomy places the organism in Eukaryota, Metazoa, Chordata, Testudines, Emydidae. The transcript has 5 exons.